Molecule: small nucleolar RNA, 123 nt
Filed under: Drosophila sechellia
Lineage: Eukaryota; Metazoa; Arthropoda; Insecta; Diptera; Drosophilidae
Description: snoRNA:GM27683
Source: RNAcentral
UGGAGCCAAAGUUUACACGUUAAAGUGCAUUUGUCUUUUCCAUGUCUACAAUGCUCCCAUAUAAAUAGUAUCGUUAAAAUCAUCUUGGACAUUCUAGUAUAUCCAAUAUCCAAUGAUAAAUAC